UCCAGGAUGUCAGGAUGAUUAAUGAUGGUGUCCAGCUUGUCUCCCUCUACUUUUUCCCAUCCCCAUGGAUAUAAAUAGAGGUGACCUUUUAAUCCUCCUCUCAAUCAGGUGGAGACGAUUGGGGAUGCUUACAUGGUGGUAUCUGGCCUCCCAGGCCGAAAUGGUCAACGCCAUGCACCAGAAAUUGCUCGUAUGGCCCUAGCAUUACUAGAUGCAGUUUCUUCCUUCCGCAUCCGCCACCGACCCCAUGACCAGCUGAGGCUACGCAUAGGGGUCCAUACUGGUAAGGCUGACUCUCACUCCAGCCCUAGUCUCCACCUUUCCCAGACUCUCCCAACCUGUUUCUUCUCAUAGGGCCAGUCUGCGCUGGGGUUGUUGGUCUGAAGAUGCCCCGUUAUUGUCUUUUUGGAGACACAGUGAACACUGCUUCUCGAAUGGAGUCUAAUGGUCAAGCGCUGAAGAUCCAUGUCUCCUCUACCACCAAGGAUGCCCUAGAUGAGCUAGGAUGCUUCCAGCUAGAGCUUCGGGGGGAUGUGGAAAUGAAGGGAAAAGGAAAGAUGCGAACAUACUGGCUCUUAGGAGAGCGGAAAGGACCUCCUGG
This 601-nucleotide small RNA is filed under the name Pan troglodytes (chimpanzee). Its description in RNAcentral is "retained intron". Lineage: Eukaryota; Metazoa; Chordata; Mammalia; Primates; Hominidae. The record is from RNAcentral.